RNAcentral lists this ribosomal RNA (253 nucleotides) under uncultured bacterium. Its description in RNAcentral is "partial 16S ribosomal RNA". It matches the Rfam family "Bacterial small subunit ribosomal RNA", at positions 524 to 776 of the family's 1533-position model. The record is from RNAcentral.
UACGGGGAUGGCGAGCGUUACUCGGAUUUAUUGGGUGUAAAGGGCAGGUAGGUGUUCUAUCAAGUUAGAAGUGAAAUCCUAAGGCUUAACCUUAGAACUGCUUCUAAAACUGAUGGAAUUGAGGACAGAAGAGGAAAGCGGAAUUCCCGGUGUAAGGGUGAAAUCUGUAGAGAUCGGGAGGAACACCAGUGGCGAAGGCGGCUUUCUGGUCUGUCCCUGACGCUAAACUGCGAAAGCUAGGGGAGCAAACAGG